CAGCCGCCACGGGAAUACCGAGGUCCCGAGCGUUGUUCGGAUUCAUUGGGCGUAAAGGGUGUGUAGGAGGCCAGGUAAGUCAGGUGUGAAAUCUCAGAGCUUAACUCUGAAACUGCGCUUGAUACUGCUUGGCUAGAGGAUCGGAGGGGGUAACGGAAUUUAUGGUGUAGCAGUGAAAUGCGUAGAUAUCAUAAGGAACACCGGUGGCGAAGGCGGUUACCUGGAAGAUUCCUGACUCUGAAACACGAAAGCCAGGGGAGCAAACAGGAUUAGAUACCCCCGUAGUCCCUGUCUCUUAUAC
RNAcentral lists this ribosomal RNA (301 nucleotides) under uncultured bacterium. RNAcentral's name for it is "partial 16S ribosomal RNA". It matches the Rfam family "Bacterial small subunit ribosomal RNA", at positions 509 to 807 of the family's 1533-position model. The record is from RNAcentral.